UGCAUUAUUUUUCCAUGAAAUGAGUUACAAUUCUUCUAAAAACACUUGAAAUUGGUCUUAUUUUCAUGUAAUGACGCAUGUCAUCACAACCCCAAACUUAUUUUAUUCCUUGUCCUCAAGGAAUAUCUCAAUCUCUAAGAAAACAAAACACUACAUCAAUCCAUUUGGCUACACAAACUCAAACCCAAUCAAUUUAGACGCAAUUUGCAUAAUAUUUCAACUGUCGUCAUGAUUCAAAUACACACAGUUUCAAAUUUAGGCAAAACAAAGAGCAUCAAACAAAGAUUGACCAUACUUAAUCUCUUCACACCCUCACCGACUCUCCUGUUUAAGGGUAAUAUUCACUCAAUCAACACAUCAUAACUAGACU
Molecule: long non-coding RNA, 370 nt
Filed under: Trifolium pratense (red clover)
Lineage: Eukaryota; Viridiplantae; Streptophyta; Magnoliopsida; Fabales; Fabaceae
Description: long non-coding RNA (TPRA_LNC007342)
Source: RNAcentral